CGCGCUAAUCAGUGACCGGGGCU
RNAcentral lists this microRNA (23 nucleotides) under Drosophila ananassae. RNAcentral describes it as "Dan-Mir-275_5p* (star (passenger))". The record is from RNAcentral. Lineage: Eukaryota; Metazoa; Arthropoda; Insecta; Diptera; Drosophilidae. RNAcentral also lists the same sequence under 6 other names.